Molecule: transfer RNA, 73 nt
Filed under: Chloroflexota bacterium
Lineage: Bacteria; Bacillati; Chloroflexota
Description: tRNA-Ala
Rfam family: tRNA
About the family: Transfer RNA (tRNA) molecules are approximately 80 nucleotides in length. Their secondary structure includes four short double-helical elements and three loops (D, anti-codon, and T loops).
Source: RNAcentral
GGGCCUGGUGGCGCAACGGAAGCGCAACUGCCUUGCAAGCAGAAGGUUGUCGGUUCAAAUCCGAUCCGGUCCA